AUUGAACGCUGGCGGCAUGCUUUACACAUGCAAGUCGAACGGUAGAGGGGGCAACCCCUUGAGAGUGGCGAACGGGUGAGUAAUGCAUCGGAACGUGCCCAGUCGUGGGGGAUAACGCAGCGAAAGCUGUGCUAAUACCGCAUACGAUCUCUGGAUGAAAGCGGGGGACCGAAAGGCCUCGCGCGAUUGGAGCGGCCGAUGUCAGAUUAGGUAGUUGGUGGGGUAAAGGCCUACCAAGCCAACGAUCUGUAGCUGGUCUGAGAGGACGACCAGCCACACUGGGACUGAGACACUGCCCAGACUCCUACGGGAGGCAGCAGUGGGGAAUUUUGGACAAUGGGCGCAAGCCUGAUCCAGCGAUGCCGCGUGCAGGAAGAAGGCCUUCGGGUUGUAAACUGCUUUUGUACGGAACGAAACGGUCUGGGUUAAUACCCUGGGCUAAUGACGGUACCGUAAGAAUAAGCACCGGCUAACUACGUGCCAGCCGCCGCAGUAA
Molecule: ribosomal RNA, 496 nt
Filed under: uncultured bacterium
Lineage: Bacteria
Description: partial 16S ribosomal RNA
Rfam family: Bacterial small subunit ribosomal RNA
Source: RNAcentral